CCAUUUUCUUUAUAACCUCCUAAAUGCGGAUCUACACACAUCAUCAAAUCAGAAUCAUGUGGGAAAGGACUAGGCAGAAUUGGAAUUUUCUCUUUGAACUUCCGAGUUCUGGGAGUGCUACUCUGCCAUCCUCCCCCCCCCACCACCCUCCAGGCUUGCUUUACACUUUCAUGGAAUUGCCGCUAAAAAAAGACAUUUAAGAGAGAUUUUGAUACCCGUAUGGUGUACAGCAGUGUGAAUGUACGUCAACUGACCCCUGAAAAAUGGACAGACGGUAUUCUCGGAGCAAACCAUGUGAAUCGCUGAAGUAAUCUUUAUCGAAUACUUCCAACGUGUUAGAUAGAUGUGCUUACCGUGAAUGACCUCAUUUAAACGUGAAGAUGGAAAAAGUGUCUGAGAAAGAGAAAGAGAUCUUUGCAAGAGCUAAAUUCAAAGGAUAUGCCCGAUAAUCCACUCUGGUCACUGCCUCAUUUCCUUCUUCUUAUUCAGAUUUACAGGGCAUGGAACAAAUCAGGAAAAAGGUCAUUUUCUUAUCACAUAAAUAUAGUCCUAGUGUUCCACACAUUCUGAAUACAGCUUGAAUUAAAAGCAAGUUUGGCAGGCUUCCAAAGUUUGAGAAUGUCGUUUGUUUGGAAUUACUUACAAAAUACUGAUAUUAAUAGUAAUGUAAUAUAUAUUCAUGAUUCAAAGAUUGAAAAAUGCAUUUCUGGAUACUCUGGUAUGUAUUUAUAUUGUUACCAGAAUAAAGAGUACAUUUUUUGUUCUAUUACAAAAUACCAAGUAACCCAUAACUCCCAGGUUUUGUUCACUAUGCUGCUUUGUUAAUGAUGAUAUAAAGCUGUGUUUUCACUCUGGCUGGGUGAAGUUCCACGGUAUAUUAAUCUAUUCAUAAAUAACAGUA
RNAcentral lists this long non-coding RNA (901 nucleotides) under Equus asinus (donkey). RNAcentral's name for it is "lncRNA (ENSEASG00005027235.1)". Lineage: Eukaryota; Metazoa; Chordata; Mammalia; Perissodactyla; Equidae. The record is from RNAcentral.